This is a long non-coding RNA of Gopherus flavomarginatus (Mexican gopher tortoise), 1380 nucleotides long. RefSeq lists it as uncharacterized. The transcript is spliced from 3 exons. Lineage: Eukaryota; Metazoa; Chordata; Testudines; Testudinidae. The record is from RefSeq and is a predicted model, not a curated record.
GUGUGCAUGUGCGGUGUGAGGAGGUGUAGUGUGUGUGGGGUGUAUACGUGUGGGGGGUAUGUGUGUGAGGGUGGGGAGUGUAAGUGUGUGUGUGGUGUAUGUGUGUGGGAGGGUGUGGGUGCAUGUGCAGGUAGGGGUGUGUGGGGGUGCAUGUGCAGGUGGAUGCAGGUGUGCGUGUGGGGGGUGUGGGGGGGUGUAGGUGUGUGUGGGGUGUAUAUGUGUGUGGUGGGGUGUAUGUGUAUGUGUGGGGUGUGCAUGUGUGAGUGGGUGCAGGUGUGUGGGGGGUAUGUGUGUGAGGAUGGGGGGUGUAGGUGUGUGGAGUGUGCGAGGGUAUAGGUGUGGGGGGUGUAUGUGUGUGUGUGGGUGCAUGUGCGGGUGGGUGCAGGUCUGUGUGGAGAGUAUGUGUGUGUGUGUGGGGUGUAGGUGUGUGGGGUGUGAAAGGCAGGGGCAGGGCGAGCCCCCAACCAGAGCAGAUGCAGCUGAGCAUCUGCUGGUGCAGAAGGUGAUAAGAAGGGGAGGGUUGGGGUUACUGCUUGAGACCCUAUUACAGCCUAUACUCGGGCAAAUGACUGCUAGGUCCUGGGCUGCAUCCCGUAAGGCAGCAGGCUGGCAGCAGAGAGCGCCAUGAGAGGCUGUGCCCUGAACGGGCAGGUUGGAGGAACAGGAGACACUCGUGCUUCCAAUAGGAGGUGCUGACCGCACAGGGAGAGAGAGGUGUGAAGACACUAGAAUAACCUCUUCUCCAUUGGAGGCAGUGACCCCUGGUGGCCUUGGUAGAGCGGCACUUGCAGAGCUGGAAGAGAUCGGGGGGGGGGUGCGGGGGGGGCGAAUGCUGGGCUAGCAGAGGGCUGCUGGUCGGGUUUGCCAGGCACUGGAAGAGGUCAGCAGGGGCAAGGACUGGGCUAGCAGGGGGCUGUGGGUUGGGUUGCCAGGCACUGGAAGAGGUUGGGGGGGGGCAAAAGCUGGACUAGCAGAGGGCUGUGGGUUGGGUUUGCCAGGCACCGGAAGAGGGCAGCAGGGGCAAGGGCUGGGCUAGCAGGGGGCUGCGGGUUGGGUUGCCAGGCACUGGAAGAGGUCAGUGGGGGCAAGGGCAGGGCUAGCGGGGGCUGUGGGUUGGAUUUGCCAGGCACUAGCAGGCCUGGUGGUGGGAGGAAGGACCAGAAAGUGCAUUGCCUUCACAUAGAGCCCAAAUGAGGUCUGCAGGAAGCAGAGGCAGGAAAGAGAAGGUGGAUCCAUGCACCAAAUUCCUUGUUUCCGCACCCCUCAGGGAAAUCUCAGCCAGAACAACUGCAGAAGCCUUCUGGUGCUACCUCCUCCAGCCCUGCAGCUACCCCUGCAAGGCACUGAUGGCCCAAGGGCUGCCCUUUGGGUCACAGCUGC